This 492-nucleotide ribosomal RNA is filed under the name uncultured bacterium. Its description in RNAcentral is "partial 16S ribosomal RNA". It matches the Rfam family "Bacterial small subunit ribosomal RNA", at positions 29 to 507 of the family's 1533-position model. The record is from RNAcentral.
AGUGAACGCUGGCGGUAGGCCUAACACAUGCAAGUCGAACGGCAGCACAGUAAGAGCUUGCUCUUACGGGUGGCGAGUGGCGGACGGGUGAGGUAUACAUCGGAAUCUACUUUUUCGUGGGGGAUAACGUAGGGAAACUUACGCUAAUACCGCACACGACCUACGGGUGAAAGCAGGGGAUCUUCGGACCUUGCGCGAUUGAAUGAGCCGAUGUCGGAUUAGCUAGUUGGCGGGGUAAAGGCCCACCAAGGCGACGAUCCGUAGCUGGUCUGAGAGGAUGAUCAGCCACACUGGAACUGAGACACGGUCCAGACCCCUACGGGAGGCAGCAGUGGGGAAUAUUGGACAAUGGGCGCAAGCCUGAUCCAGCCAUACCGCGUGGGUGAAGAAGGCCUUCGGGUUGUAAAGCCCUUUUGUUGGGAAAGAAAAGCAGCAGGUUAAUACCCCGCUGUUCUGACGGUACCCAAAGAAUAAGCACCGGCUAACUUCGUG